UACGUAGGGUGCAAGCGUUGUCCGGAAUCAUUGGGCGUAAAGAGCGUGUAGGCGGCUCGGUAAGUCCGCUGUAAAAGUCAAAGGCUCAACCUUUGAAUGUCAGUGGAUACUGCCGGGCUAGAGUCCGGAAGAGGCGAGUGGAACUCCUGGUGUAGCGGUGGAAUGCGCAGAUAUCAGGAAGAACACCAACGGCGAAGGCAGCUCGCUGGGACGGUACUGACGCUGAGACGCGAAAGCGUGGGGAGCGAACAGG
RNAcentral lists this ribosomal RNA (253 nucleotides) under uncultured bacterium. RNAcentral's name for it is "partial 16S ribosomal RNA". It matches the Rfam family "Bacterial small subunit ribosomal RNA", at positions 524 to 776 of the family's 1533-position model. The record is from RNAcentral.